GCCUAAAAGGGAGGCUUUGCUUGCACAGUCAAAUGAAACAAACACGCACAUAACUUAUGUAACAUCCAAGAAAGCAAAAAAGCAGCUAAGUGGAAAAAUACCCAGCCACAACAUUCUCAUGUGAUCCCCCCACAAGCACUGUAGCAGACAAUUCUGCAUUCAAAGCGAUAACAAUGCUCAUGCUUGUUUUCAAUGUGGCAACAAUAUUUUGUGGUGUAACAAUAGUUUGACUUCCUGAAGCGGUGCAGCAUGUUUGAAAUUGUUAACGUACUGCUUUGCUUAGGGCAUCGCUGAUCUUGUUUCCCCCUGAGGAAACCUGCUUAGCUGAAGAUCAUAAAAACUGCACAGAUAUUCUAAACCUGCAUUACCUGGCAGUGAGCCAGAUGCAAUAAGCACAGAGAAGGAUGGUGUCAAAAAUCGAAUGAGUUGGACGCUUAGCUCGAAUCUUGGCUGUAGACCACGCCCACCUGCCUUCGUACUUCAUCCUCCACUUCGGCCAGCAGAAGGUAUUUCAUCAACAGCUUCAUCACAAUACCUUUGAGCAAACACUGUCGGACCGCUUCGGCCUCGUAGCGCAUUCCCGUGCUGUUGAAGAAGUUGAGGGCUACGUCAGACUCUGGAACAGGAUACUGUGUCUUCUUCCCGUUGACCACCAAAGAGUUUGGACAGAUAACUAAAAAGUCUGCAUUCCUACCCUGAUGUUGCCAUUGGUGCCCACAAUGACGGCGUCGUUGUUUAGCUCCAUUCCUGAGGAGCACGUGAUCACGGCCAUGCGGCCUUUGGAGAACUUGAGAGUGACCACCACGGUCUCGUCCACUCCUGGAAACAUACGACUCCCAUGGCCUUGAUGCUCUGGGGCUUUUCUCCGCCGUACACCAUGAUGGAGAACUGCAGCGGGUAAAUGCCGAGGUCCAGCAAUGUUCCCGCGCCCAACUCCUUGUCCAUGGAUCGGGGCAAAUGCAUGAGUGACUGGCCAAAUUCGGCCUUCACCAUCUUCACCUCACCCAGCUCCCCAUGAGUCAGCAGCCGGCGCAUCUCCACUGAGGCUGGGAAAAAUCGACUCCACACGGCCUGGAACAGAAGUUCAGAAGUGAUUUUCACUCUGAGCACGGUUGUGAACGACGUGAUAUAAAGCUGUAGACAAA
This is a long non-coding RNA of Syngnathus acus (greater pipefish), 1145 nucleotides long. RefSeq lists it as uncharacterized. The transcript has 5 exons. Lineage: Eukaryota; Metazoa; Chordata; Actinopteri; Syngnathiformes; Syngnathidae. The record is from RefSeq and is a predicted model, not a curated record.